RNAcentral lists this ribosomal RNA (1004 nucleotides) under Microbacterium sp. RNAcentral describes it as "bacterial SSU rRNA". It matches the Rfam family "Bacterial small subunit ribosomal RNA", at positions 469 to 1471 of the family's 1533-position model. The record is from RNAcentral. Lineage: Bacteria; Bacillati; Actinomycetota; Actinomycetes; Micrococcales; Microbacteriaceae.
GUGACGGUCCUGCAGAAAAACCCCGGCUAACUACGUGCCAGCAGCCGCGGUAAUACGUAGGGCGCAAGCGUUAUCCGGAAUUAUUGGGCGUAAAGAGCUCGUAGGCGGUUUGUCGCGUCUGCUGUGAAAACCCGAGGCUCAACCUCGGGCCUGCAGUGGGUACGGGCAGACUAGAGUGCGGUAGGGGAGAUUGGAAUUCCUGGUGUAGCGGUGGAAUGCGCAGAUAUCAGGAGGAACACCGAUGGCGAAGGCAGAUCUCUGGGCCGUUACUGACGCUGAGGAGCGAAAGGGUGGGGAGCAAACAGGCUUAGAUACCCUGGUAGUCCACCCCGUAAACGUUGGGAACUAGUUGUGGGGGCCUUUCCACGGUCUCCGUGACGCAGCUAACGCAUUAAGUUCCCCGCCUGGGGAGUACGGCCGCAAGGCUAAAACUCAAAGGAAUUGACGGGGACCCGCACAAGCGGCGGAGCAUGCGGAUUAAUUCGAUGCAACGCGAAGAACCUUACCAAGGCUUGACAUACACCGGAAACGUCUGGAAACAGUCGCCCCUUUUUGGUCGGUGUACAGGUGGUGCAUGGUUGUCGUCAGCUCGUGUCGUGAGAUGUUGGGUUAAGUCCCGCAACGAGCGCAACCCUCGUUCUAUGUUGCCAGCACGUUAUGGUGGGAACUCAUGGGAUACUGCCGGGGUCAACUCGGAGGAAGGUGGGGAUGACGUCAAAUCAUCAUGCCCCUUAUGUCUUGGGCUUCACGCAUGCUACAAUGGCCGGUACAAAGGGCUGCAAUACCGUGAGGUGGAGCGAAUCCCAAAAAGCCGGUCCCAGUUCGGAUUGAGGUCUGCAACUCGACCUCAUGAAGUCGGAGUCGCUAGUAAUCGCAGAUCAGCAACGCUGCGGUGAAUACGUUCCCGGGUCUUGUACACACCGCCCGUCAAGUCAUGAAAGUCGGUAACACCUGAAGCCGGUGGCCUAACCCCUUGUGGGAGGGAGCUUCGAAGGUGCAUCCGA